RNAcentral lists this ribosomal RNA (1733 nucleotides) under marine metagenome. Its description in RNAcentral is "bacterial LSU rRNA". It matches the Rfam family "Bacterial large subunit ribosomal RNA", at positions 797 to 2517 of the family's 2925-position model. The record is from RNAcentral.
UUGGGGGAUGACCUGUGGAUCGGAGUGAAAGGCUAAUCAAACCCAGUAAUAGCUGGUUCUCCCCGAAAUAGCUUUAGGGCUAGCCUUAUGUGUUCAGCGGUGGAGGUAGAGCUCUAAUUGGACUAGCGGCCCUACCAGGUUAGCAACUCCAGUUAAACUACAAAUGCCAUCGUUCCAAAGCAUAGGAGUCAGUCAGUGGGGGAUAAGCUCCAUUGACGAAAGGGAAACAGCCCGGACCGCCAGCUAAGGUCCCUAAAUACAAGUUAAGUGGCAAAGGAUGUUUUGUUACAUAGACAGCCAGGAUGUUGGCUUAGAAGCAGCCAUUCAUUUAAAGAGUGCGUAACAGCUCACUGGUCAAGCGACUUUGCACCGAAAAUUUCAGGGGCUUAAACUUGUUACCGAAGCUGCGGAUUGUCCUCGUUUACGAGGAUAGUGGUAGGGGAGCGUUCUAUAGUAGGUUGAAGGAGAAUUGAAAAACUCUCUGGACAAAUUAGAAGUGAUCAUGCCGGCAUGAGUAGCGAUAAAACAAGUGAGAAGCUUGUUCGCCGUAAGCCUAAGGUUUCCUGUGGAAGGCAAGUCCACACAGGGUUAGUCGCGUCCUAAGUCGAGGCUGAAGAGCGUAGACGAUGGGCAACAGGUUAAUAUUCCUGUACCACCACCAGGCGAUUGAAUCUAGGAGAGACGCAAACAUUAGAAUCUACUAGCGGAUGGAAGUGCUAGGUCAAGCGGACGGAGGUUCCGGUUAAUCCCGGAAAUUACCUCUGAAAGUGAUGAGGUGUCCUUAAGGACUGAACUGGUUCGGUUGUUUGCCAAGAAAAGAACUCCGAGAGGACAAAUGGUGGUGUGCGUACCGCAAACCGACACAGGUAGGCAAGGAGAAUAUCCUAAGGCGCUCGAGAGAACUCUCGCUAAGGAACUCGGCAAAAUGGCUCCGUAACUUCGGGAGAAGGAGUGCUUGAGUUGACUGGUUCGCCAGUCUAGCGAAAGCCGCAGUGAAAAGGCCCAUACGACUGUUUACUAAAAACACAGGUCUGUGCUAAAUCGUAAGAUGAUGUAUACGGACUGACGCCUGCCCGGUGCUGAAAAGUUAAGGAGAGGGGUUAGAGCUUAGGCUCGAAGCUCUGAACCGAAGCUUCAGUAAACGGCGGCGGUAACUAUAACCGUCCUAAGGUAGCGAAAUUCCUCGUCGGGUAAAAUCCGACCUGCACGAAUGGCGUAACGAUAUGGGCACUGUCUCAGCGAGAGACUCGGUGAAAUUGUAUUAUCGGUGAAGAUGCCGAUUACCCGUAAAAAGACGGAAAGACCCCGUGAACCUUUACUAUAGCUUGAUAUUGAAUUUGGAUUUAGCUUGUGUAGGAUAGGUGGGAGACUUUGAAGCUGGAGCGCUAGCCCCAGUGGAGUCGCCCUUGAAAUACCACUCUUGUUGUAUCUAAAUCCUAACUCUGGUUUGUAUAUCCAAGCCGAGGACAGUGUCAGGUGGGUAGUUUGACUGGGGCGGUCGCCUCCUAAAGCGUAACGGAGGCGCCCUAAGGUUCCCUCAGCGUGAUUGGAAACCACGCGUAGAGUGUAAAGGCAUAAGGGAGCUUGACUGCAAGACAGACAUGUCGAGCAGGUGCGAAAGCAGGGCUUAGUGAUCUUGCGAUUCCGUGUGGAAGGGUCGUAACUCAACGGAUAAAAGGUACUCCGGGGAUAACAGGCUUAUCGCGCCCAAGAGUUCAUAUCGACGGCGCGGU